RNAcentral lists this ribosomal RNA (254 nucleotides) under uncultured bacterium. Its description in RNAcentral is "partial 16S ribosomal RNA". It matches the Rfam family "Bacterial small subunit ribosomal RNA", at positions 524 to 776 of the family's 1533-position model. The record is from RNAcentral.
UACGUAGGGUCCGAGCGUUGUCCGGAAUUACUGGGCGUAAAGAGCUCGUAGGCGGUCUGUCGCGUCGAUCGUGAAAACUUGGGGCUUAACCCUGAGCUUGCGGUCGAUACGGGCAUGACUGGAGUUCGGCAGGGGAGACUGGAAUUCCUGGUGUAGCGGUGAAAUGCGCAGAUAUCAGGAGGAACACCGGUGGCGAAGGCGGGUCUCUGGGCCGAUACUGACGCUGAGGAGCGAAAGCGUGGGGAGCGAACAAG